AUACGAAGGGGGCUAGCGUUGUUCGGAUUUACUGGGCGUAAAGCGCACGUAGGCGGAUUGAUUAGUUAGGGGUGAAAUCCCGAGGCUCAACCUCGGAACUGCCUUUAAUACUGUCAAUCUCGAGACCGGAAGAGGUGAGUGGAACUCCUAGUGUAGAGGUGGAAUUCGUAGAUAUUAGGAAGAACACCAGUGGCGAAGGCGGCUCACCUGGACUUCAACUGACGCUGAGGCGCGAAAGCGUGGGGAGCAAACAGGAUUAGAAACCCCUGUAGUCC
RNAcentral lists this ribosomal RNA (275 nucleotides) under uncultured bacterium. Its description in RNAcentral is "partial 16S ribosomal RNA". It matches the Rfam family "Bacterial small subunit ribosomal RNA", at positions 523 to 796 of the family's 1533-position model. The record is from RNAcentral.